UGUAAAGUUCAAGCUCCGAUUAUGAGGGCGAAACCGCGAAUGGCUCAUUAAAUCAGUCAUAAUCUACUUGAUUGUUUAAAGUUUAUAUGGAUAACUGUGGUAAUUCUAGAGCUAAUACAUGCACAAAAGGGAUGACUCUCUAGCAAUAGGGAGAAGUUCUGCGUUUAUUAGACUAAGACCAAUGGGCAGCUUCGGCUCGCUCUGAAAUUAAGGUGACUCUGAGUAAAUAAUGGGUGAAAGCCCAUGUUGCUGACCUGACAUACCAAAAGGCCCCUAAAAAGGCCUGUCAGGCAAAUCAAUCGAGUGUCUGCUCUAUCAACUGUGGAUGGUAGGAUAAUUGCCUACCAUGGUGAUGACGGGUAACGGGGAGUUAGGGCUCGACUCCGGAGAACAAGCCUGAGAAACGGCUAGUAGGACUAAGGUCUGCAGCAGGCGCGAAACUUACACAAUGCUAGAUUAAGAUAUAGCGAUGUAGUGAAGAAAAAUAACGAUGUACUUCCAUUUAAACAUGGUAGUACAAUUGGAAUGAGACGACUCUAAACCAGUCAGUCGAGUAACAAAUGGAGGGCAAGUCUGGUGCCAGCAGCCGCGGUAAUUCCAGCUCCAUUAGCAUACAUUAAAGUUGUUGCGGUUAAAAAGCUCGUAGUUGAAUUUCGGGCGGGCUCUAUUGGGAUGCAAUCGUUAAGGCUUCACUAGCUCCGGCUAGCUGUUGCUGGUUGUAUUUUCCCUAUAGGAACCCGUUGUUUCGUCACUUAUUCGAGUGCGAAGCGGGCUGGUGUUCGUUUGGAGUUUACUCCUUGAAUAACAGCAUGUUUACCUUGAGAAAAUUAGAGUGCUCACAGCAGGCAGUUGGGGUGUAAAAGCCCCUUUAUGCUUGAAUAAUGUUGCAUGGAAUAAUAGAAUACGGCCUCGGUUCUAUUCUGUUGGUCUUAUAGAACAACAAACAAGUUGAUUAAGGCGAUCAAAGGUCCAUUUUGAGUGUGGCCAUCGCGUAGUUUAGGCCACGAACUUCAUUCGGUUCUUGUUGUCUGGGGCCUUAAAAUCUCAGUACCAUAUCCGUUUGUUAGCGAGUACCUAUGCUUGCAUGGUCAUCAAAGCACUCUUAGUGUGGCUAGCUUUCUAAUCAACUGAGGCAAUGGUUAAAAGAAAUAGUCGCGGCGGCAUCAGUACUGCAUCGUGAGAGGUGAAAUUCUUAGACCGAUGCAAGACUAACUGAAGCGAAAGCGUUUGCCGAGGAUAUUUUCAUUAAUCAAGAACGAAAGUUAGAGGUUCGAAGGCGAUCAGAUACCGCCCUAGUUCUAACCAUAAACGUUGCCAACUAGCAAUUGGGUUGCGAUUCCUUUAAUUGGAGCCUAAAAAACUCCAAUCAUUAUGAUCCACCCAGCGGCUCUCGUAGGGAAACCAAAGUGUUUGGGUUCCGGGGGAAGUAUGAUUGCAAAGUUGAAACUUAAAGGAAUUGACGGAAGGGCACCACCAGGAGUGGAGCCUGCGGCUUAAUUUGACUCAACACGGGGAAACUUACUAGAUUAAAACUCUGGAAUGAUUGACAGAUUGAUAGCUCUUUCUUGAUUCAGAGGAUGGUGGUGCAUGGCCGUUCUUGAUUCGUAUUCCGAAACGUCUGCUUAAUUGCGAUAACGAGUGAGACCUCACCCAACUAACUAGUCGGCUGGUGCGCUGUGGGGCGCUCAAGGUGGUUGUGGAUCACGGUUAGAAGGUGGCAACACCAACUAGCUACCGCUUCCAUUGCCCUCUGCUCGCCGUCGGACUUCUUAGAGGGAUAAACGGUGUUUUAGCCGUAAGAAACGAGGCAAUAACAGGUCUGUGAUGCCCUUAGAUAUUCUAGGCCGCACGCGUGCUACAAUGGCGUGUGCAGAAAGCUUAUUCGAGGUUCGUCCAGAGAGAACUAGCAAUUUGGUGCAAGUUUGGGGCAACUCAGGUUUGCGUCGAUUGCCAAGUGACUCUGGUUCGCGGGCCGAGAGAAACCGCAGCCGAAAGGUUGUGGCAAUCAAAAAUACACGCCGUGAUUUGGGAUUGGGGAUUGCAAUUGUUGCCCAUGAACGAGGAAUUCCCAGUAAGCGCAAUUCAUCAUAUUGCGUUGAUUACGUCCCUGCCCUUUGUACACACCGCCCGUCGCUACUACCGAUUGGAAGUUUUAGUGAGGCAUCUGGACUCGUCGGCCAUGGGAGGGGCAACCCUCCUCGGCCUGGUGGGGAAGUUUGUCGAACUCAAAUUUCUAGAGGAAGUAAAAGUCGUAACAAGGUUUCCGU
The sequence is a ribosomal RNA, 2267 nucleotides long. It matches the Rfam family "Eukaryotic small subunit ribosomal RNA".